This 27-nucleotide small RNA is filed under the name Bombyx mori (domestic silkworm). RNAcentral's name for it is "ovarian small RNA-15180". The record is from RNAcentral. Lineage: Eukaryota; Metazoa; Arthropoda; Insecta; Lepidoptera; Bombycidae.
GAACGUAGAGGAAUGGAGCCAGGACGC